Molecule: ribosomal RNA, 497 nt
Filed under: uncultured bacterium
Lineage: Bacteria
Description: partial 16S ribosomal RNA
Rfam family: Bacterial small subunit ribosomal RNA
Source: RNAcentral
GAUGAACGCUGGCGGCGUGCCUAAUACAUGCAAGUCGAGCGAACAGACGAGGAGUUUUCUCCUCUGACGUUAUCGGCGGACGGGUGAGUAACACGUGGUUAACCUACCUCUACGACUGGGAUAACUUCGGGAAACCGGAGCUACUACCCGAUAAUAUAUCGCACCGGAUGGUUCAAUAGUGAAAUACGGUUUUGCUGUCACUUAUAGAUGGAUACGCGCCGCAUUAGCUAGUUGGUAAGGUAGCGGCUUACCAAGGCAACGAGGGGUAACCGACCCGAGAGGGUCAACCGCCAGACUGUAACAGAGGAACGGUCCACACUCCUACAGUGGGAAGCGGUAGGGAAUCUUCCGCGAAGGGCGAGUGCCUAACAGUGCAACACCGCCGGAAGGAUGAAGGUCUUCGGAUCGUAAAACGCUGUAAGUAGUGAAGAACAAAAGUGUAAUUAACUAUGCACGUCUUGACGGUACCGGAACAGAAAGCCACGGCUAACUACGUG